RNAcentral lists this transfer RNA (69 nucleotides) under Curtobacterium sp. MCPF17_031. Its description in RNAcentral is "tRNA-Val". The stretch from base 1 to 55 matches the Rfam family "tRNA". From Rfam's summary of the family: Transfer RNA (tRNA) molecules are approximately 80 nucleotides in length. Their secondary structure includes four short double-helical elements and three loops (D, anti-codon, and T loops). Lineage: Bacteria; Bacillati; Actinomycetota; Actinomycetes; Micrococcales; Microbacteriaceae. The record is from RNAcentral.
GGGCCUUUAGCUCAGCUGGUAGAGCGCCACGUUUACACCGUGGAUGUCAGUCCCGUCGAUCGCGCUCCG